Molecule: ribosomal RNA, 661 nt
Filed under: uncultured bacterium
Lineage: Bacteria
Description: bacterial SSU rRNA
Rfam family: Bacterial small subunit ribosomal RNA
Source: RNAcentral
AGAGUUUGAUCAUGGCUCAGAUUGAACGCUGGCGGCAUGCUUAAUACAUGCAAGUCGAACGGUAACAGGUCCUUCGGGAUGCUGACGAGUGGCGGACGGGUGAGUAAUGCAUAGGAAUCUGCCCAGUAGUAGGGGACAACCUGAGGAAACUCAGGCUAAUACCGUAUAAGUCCUACGGGAGAAAGGGGGCCUCUUCUUGAAAGCUCUCGCUAUUGGAUGAGCCUAUGUCGGAUUAGCUUGUUGGUGGGGUAACGGCCUACCAAGGCGACGAUCCGUAGCUGGUCUGAGAGGGCGAUCAGCCACACUGGGACUGAGACACGGCCCAGACUCCUACGGGAGGCAGCAGUAGGGAAUAUUGGACAAUGGGCGAAAGCCUGAUCCAGCAAUGCCGCGUGUGUGAAGAAGGCCUGCGGGUUGUAAAGCACUUUCAGUUGGGAAGAAAAUCUUUAGGUUAAUAUCCUAAAGUCUUGACGUUACCAACAGAAGAAGCACCGGCUAACUCUGUGCCAGCAGCCGCGGUAAUACAGAGGGUGCGAGCGUUAAUCGGAAUUACUGGGCGUAAAGCGUGCGUAGGCGGUUAAGUCAGUCGGAUGUGAAAGCCCAAGGCUUAACCUUGGAACGGCAUUCGAUACUGCUUAGCUAGAGUACAGUAGAGGGAAGC